Molecule: non-coding RNA, 77 nt
Organism: Ktedonobacter racemifer DSM 44963
Lineage: Bacteria; Bacillati; Chloroflexota; Ktedonobacteria; Ktedonobacterales; Ktedonobacteraceae
Source: Rfam
AGGAGCCGUGUGCGGGGAAAUUCGCAUGCACGGUUCUGGAUUGGCGGUGGCGGGAGUGAUCCCGCUGCCGACCAUAC